GACGAACGCUGGCGGCGUGCUUAACACAUGCAAGUCGAGCGGUAAGGCCCUUUCGGGGGUACACGAGCGGCGAACGGGUGAGUAACACGUGGGUGACCUGCCCUCAGCUCUGGGAUAAGCCUGGGAAACUGGGUCUAAUACUGGAUAUGACUCCACGGUGCAUGUCGGUGGGGUGGAAAGCCUUGUGCGGCUGAGGAUGGGGCCCGCGGCCUAUCAGCUUGUUGGUGGGGUGANGGCCUACCAAGGCGACGACGGGUAGCCGGCCUGAGAGGGCGACCGGCCACACUGGGACUGAGACACGGCCCAGACUCCUACGGGAGGCAGCAGUGGGGAAUCUUGCGCAAGUGGGCGAAAGCCUGACGCAGCGACGCCGCGUGAGGGAUGACGG
RNAcentral lists this ribosomal RNA (388 nucleotides) under uncultured bacterium. RNAcentral describes it as "bacterial SSU rRNA". It matches the Rfam family "Bacterial small subunit ribosomal RNA", at positions 28 to 414 of the family's 1533-position model. The record is from RNAcentral.